MicroRNA precursor from Mustela putorius furo (domestic ferret), 81 nucleotides. Lineage: Eukaryota; Metazoa; Chordata; Mammalia; Carnivora; Mustelidae. The record is from Ensembl.
AACACAGUGGACGCUCAGUAAAUGUUUGUUGAGUUGAGAUGCGCUACAUUCAACGGGUAUUUACUGAGCCCCCACUCUGUG